RNAcentral lists this ribosomal RNA (2923 nucleotides) under Klebsiella pneumoniae. Its description in RNAcentral is "23S ribosomal RNA". It matches the Rfam family "Bacterial large subunit ribosomal RNA". Lineage: Bacteria; Pseudomonadati; Pseudomonadota; Gammaproteobacteria; Enterobacterales; Enterobacteriaceae. The record is from RNAcentral.
GGGUUGUGAGGUUAAGCGACUAAGCGUACACGGUGGAUGCCCUGGCAGUCAGAGGCGAUGAAGGACGUGCUAAUCUGCGAAAAGCGUCGGUAAGGUGAUAUGAACCGUUAUAGCCGGCGAUGUCCGAAUGGGGAAACCCAGUGCAAUUCGUUGCACUAUCGUUAACUGAAUACAUAGGUUAACGAGGCGAACCGGGGGAACUGAAACAUCUAAGUACCCCGAGGAAAAGAAAUCAACCGAGAUUCCCCCAGUAGCGGCGAGCGAACGGGGAGCAGCCCAGAGUCUGAAUCAGCUUGUGUGUUAGUGGAACGGUCUGGAAAGUCCGACGGUACAGGGUGAUAGUCCCGUACACCAAAAUGCACAGGCUGUGAACUCGAAGAGUAGGGCGGGACACGUGGUAUCCUGUCUGAAUAUGGGGGGACCAUCCUCCAAGGCUAAAUACUUCUGACUGACCGAUAGUGAACCAGUACCGUGAGGGAAAGGCGAAAAGAACCCCGGCGAGGGGAGUGAAAAAGAACCUGAAACCGUGUACGUACAAGCAGUGGGAGCACCUUCGGGUGUGACUGCGUACCUUUUGUAUAAUGGGUCAGCGACUUAUAUUCUGUAGCAAGGUUAACCGUAUAGGGGAGCCGCAGGGAAACCGAGUCUUAACUGGGCGUUAAGUUGCAGGGUAUAGACCCGAAACCCGGUGAUCUAGCCAUGGGCAGGUUGAAGGUUGGGUAACACUAACUGGAGGACCGAACCGACUAAUGUUGAAAAAUUAGCGGAUGACUUGUGGCUGGGGGUGAAAGGCCAAUCAAACCGGGAGAUAGCUGGUUCUCCCCGAAAGCUAUUUAGGUAGCGCCUCGUGAAUUCAUCUUCGGGGGUAGAGCACUGUUUCGGCUAGGGGGUCAUCCCGACUUACCAACCCGAUGCAAACUACGAAUACCGAAGAAUGUUAUCACGGGAGACACACGGCGGGUGCUAACGUCCGUCGUGAAGAGGGAAACAACCCAGACCGCCAGCUAAGGUCCCAAAGUCAUGGUUAAGUGGGAAACGAUGUGGGAAGGCACAGACAGCCAGGAUGUUGGCUUAGAAGCAGCCAUCAUUUAAAGAAAGCGUAAUAGCUCACUGGUCGAGUCGGCCUGCGCGGAAGAUGUAACGGGGCUAAACCAUGCACCGAAGCUGCGGCAGCGACACUAUGUGUUGUUGGGUAGGGGAGCGUUCUGUAAGCCUGCGAAGGUGUGCUGUGAGGCAUGCUGGAGGUAUCAGAAGUGCGAAUGCUGACAUAAGUAACGAUAAAGCGGGUGAAAAGCCCGCUCGCCGGAAGACCAAGGGUUCCUGUCCAACGUUAAUCGGGGCAGGGUGAGUCGACCCCUAAGGCGAGGCCGAAAGGCGUAGUCGAUGGGAAACAGGUUAAUAUUCCUGUACUUGGUGUUACUGCGAAGGGGGGACGGAGAAGGCUAUGUUAGCCGGGCGACGGUUGUCCCGGUUUAAGCAUGUAGGCUGGUUAUCCAGGCAAAUCCGGAUAAUCAAGGCUGAGGUGUGAUGACGAGGCACUACGGUGCUGAAGUAACAAAUGCCCUGCUUCCAGGAAAAGCCUCUAAGCAUCAGGUAACAUCAAAUCGUACCCCAAACCGACACAGGUGGUCAGGUAGAGAAUACCAAGGCGCUUGAGAGAACUCGGGUGAAGGAACUAGGCAAAAUGGUGCCGUAACUUCGGGAGAAGGCACGCUGGUGUGUAGGUGAAGCCCCUGCGGGUGGAGCUGAGACCAGUCGAAGAUACCAGCUGGCUGCAACUGUUUAUUAAAAACACAGCACUGUGCAAACACGAAAGUGGACGUAUACGGUGUGACGCCUGCCCGGUGCCGGAAGGUUAAUUGAUGGGGUUAUCCGUAAGGAGAAGCUCUUGAUCGAAGCCCCGGUAAACGGCGGCCGUAACUAUAACGGUCCUAAGGUAGCGAAAUUCCUUGUCGGGUAAGUUCCGACCUGCACGAAUGGCGUAAUGAUGGCCAGGCUGUCUCCACCCGAGACUCAGUGAAAUUGAACUCGCUGUGAAGAUGCAGUGUACCCGCGGCAAGACGGAAAGACCCCGUGAACCUUUACUAUAGCUUGACACUGAACAUUGAGCCUUGAUGUGUAGGAUAGGUGGGAGGCUUUGAAGCGUGGACGCCAGUCUGCGUGGAGCCAACCUUGAAAUACCACCCUUUAAUGUUUGAUGUUCUAACGUUGGCCCCUGACCGGGGUUGCGGACAGUGUCUGGUGGGUAGUUUGACUGGGGCGGUCUCCUCCCAAAGCGUAACGGAGGAGCACGAAGGUUAGCUAAUCCUGGUCGGACAUCAGGAGGUUAGUGCAAUGGCAUAAGCUAGCUUGACUGCGAGCGUGACGGCGCGAGCAGGUGCGAAAGCAGGUCAUAGUGAUCCGGUGGUUCUGAAUGGAAGGGCCAUCGCUCAACGGAUAAAAGGUACUCCGGGGAUAACAGGCUGAUACCGCCCAAGAGUUCAUAUCGACGGCGGUGUUUGGCACCUCGAUGUCGGCUCAUCACAUCCUGGGGCUGAAGUAGGUCCCAAGGGUAUGGCUGUUCGCCAUUUAAAGUGGUACGCGAGCUGGGUUUAGAACGUCGUGAGACAGUUCGGUCCCUAUCUGCCGUGGGCGCUGGAGAAUUGAGGGGGGCUGCUCCUAGUACGAGAGGACCGGAGUGGACGCAUCACUGGUGUUCGGGUUGUCAUGCCAAUGGCACUGCCCGGUAGCUAAAUGCGGAAGAGAUAAGUGCUGAAAGCAUCUAAGCACGAAACUUGCCCCGAGAUGAGUUCUCCCUGAGACUUUAAGUCUCCUGAAGGAACGUUAAAGACGAUGACGUUGAUAGGCCGGGUGUGUAAGCGCAGCGAUGCGUUGAGCUAACCGGUACUAAUGAACCGUGAGGCUUAACCUUACAACGCCGAAG